AUGGAAGCAUUGAGCGUUCUCCGAACAGUAGAUGAGAAAUUCAGAGCAAAAUGACUGGUUUGACGUAACACCAGCAGUGGCCACGAAAGCAAUCACAAGUUCCAGGAUUGCCUGGACUAUGCAGAGCAGUUCGGAUUCCAGGACUUAGCAGGUCAAUUGAAAAGUCCACGGCCUACCAUAAUUUUUUCACAUCAAGGUCAUCGCGAUGUGGGUAGUUCAUUAACGAACGCCUACAAAACGAAGCUUCACUAAUGAGAGUUCGCCGGCUCGUUGACAGAUGCAUUGGCGCGGAUUAAGAAUGUGCAGAAGCAAACAAAGGAUUGCGGGACCUAAACCAACAACAGCCGGGACAAAAACUGCAGCGGCAAUGCAGCAGGAACAAUGAAACAAACGGUCUUUUGGCUAUUUCACCCAUCUUAUAUUCUAACUUGUCCUACGCACAUUUUAUAUAGCUCCCUAAAAACUGAGAGAAAAUGAUAUAGCCUAAAUAAGGAAAAUUCAAAAUACUUAAAACCAAUAAACUUGUUACUAGAUAAGUUCCUUCAUAAUGGCUAUAGAUAAUAGUAAUUAACUAUUUUGGAAGUAGC
Non-coding RNA from Drosophila melanogaster (fruit fly), 587 nucleotides. Lineage: Eukaryota; Metazoa; Arthropoda; Insecta; Diptera; Drosophilidae. The record is from Ensembl.